This 31-nucleotide non-coding RNA is filed under the name Rattus norvegicus (Norway rat). The record is from RNAcentral. Lineage: Eukaryota; Metazoa; Chordata; Mammalia; Rodentia; Muridae.
CUUUCAAGUAGUGCCAGACAGGUGUGUCCCU